UACGAGCUGUGCAAACGUUACUCGGAAUCAUUGGGCUUAAAGGGUGCGUAGGCGGCCUCGAAAGUCGGGUGUGAAAUGUCCUGGCUCAACCAGGGAAUUGCGCCCGAAACUACGAGGCUCGAGGGAGAUAGAGGCAAGCGGAACUCAGGGUGGAGCGGUGAAAUGUGUUGAUAUCCUGGGGAACACCGGUGGCGAAAGCGGCUUGCUGGGUCUCUACUGACGCUGAGGCACGAAAGCUAGGGUAGCGAACGGG
Molecule: ribosomal RNA, 253 nt
Filed under: uncultured bacterium
Lineage: Bacteria
Description: partial 16S ribosomal RNA
Rfam family: Bacterial small subunit ribosomal RNA
Source: RNAcentral